This 352-nucleotide long non-coding RNA is filed under the name Serinus canaria (Common canary). RNAcentral describes it as "lncRNA (ENSSCAG00000010446.1)". The record is from RNAcentral. Lineage: Eukaryota; Metazoa; Chordata; Aves; Passeriformes; Fringillidae.
CUGGAGACAAAUCUGAUAAUUAGAAAAAGCAGUGAAUAACAAAAUAUUUUUGACUCAUGCCAUAUCAGGCAGCCUCUGAGAAUUCCCAGAGGCAAGAAAACAGGGUUUAAUUCCCUGCAGCUUAUUGCAGUUUUAUGUUAGAGCAACGCCACUGAUUUCAGAGACAUUACUCUGGUGCAAUACUGGAGCUGGCAGGAUUGUCAACUGGAUUUUCUCACUUUCCUACAUAUUAGUGACCAAUCAAUGCUGGAAAUGAAGGAGGAGGAGGAGGAGGAGGAUAAAGAGGAGGUGCUUUAGGCAGCAGACAAGAGAUAAGAGAUUCUUCUGCAGACUGGGAAAGAGACCACAGUGG